This 200-nucleotide ribosomal RNA is filed under the name uncultured bacterium. RNAcentral's name for it is "partial 16S ribosomal RNA". It matches the Rfam family "Bacterial small subunit ribosomal RNA", at positions 1301 to 1500 of the family's 1533-position model. The record is from RNAcentral.
UAGUCUGCAACCCGACUACACGAAGCUGGAAUCGCUAGUAAUCGCGGAUCAGAAUGCCGCGGUGAAUACGUUCCCGGGUCUUGUACACACCGCCCGUCACACCAUGGGAGUCAGUAACGCCCGAAGUCAGUGACCUAACCGAAAGGGAGGAGCUGCCGAAGGCGGGACGGAUGACUGGGGUGAAGUCGUAACAAGGUAGC